GAUGAACGCUAGCUACAGACUUAACACAUGCAAGUCGCGGGACCGGCGAACGUGUGAGUAACGCGUAUCCAACCUGCCCUUCACCACGGGAUAACCCGGGGAAAGUCGGACUAGUACAGUAUGGUGAAGGAUGGGGCUGCAUCCGAUUAGCUUGACGGGGGGGUAACGGCCCACCGUGGCUACGAUCGGUAGGGGUUCUGAGAGGAAGGUCCCCCACACUGGAACUGGGACACGGUCCAGACUCCUACGGGAGGCAGCAGUGAGGAAUAUUGGUCAAUGGGCGUAAGCCUGAACCAGCCAAGUAGCGUGCAGGACGACGGCCUAUGGGUUGUAAACUGCUUUUAUGCGGGGAUAGGUACCGCAUGAAUAAGGACCGGCUAAUUCCGUGCCAGCAGCCGCGGUAAUAC
This 407-nucleotide ribosomal RNA is filed under the name uncultured bacterium. RNAcentral describes it as "partial 16S ribosomal RNA". It matches the Rfam family "Bacterial small subunit ribosomal RNA", at positions 28 to 526 of the family's 1533-position model. The record is from RNAcentral.